RNAcentral lists this ribosomal RNA (495 nucleotides) under uncultured bacterium. Its description in RNAcentral is "partial 16S ribosomal RNA". It matches the Rfam family "Bacterial small subunit ribosomal RNA", at positions 30 to 523 of the family's 1533-position model. The record is from RNAcentral.
AUUGAACGCUGGCGGAAUGCUUUACACAUGCAAGUCGAACGGUAGAGGGGGCAACCUCUUGAGAGUGGCGAACGGGUGAGUAAUGUAUCGGAACGUGCCCAGUCGUGGGGGAUAACGUAGUGAAAAUUACGCUAAUACCGCAUACGAUCUAUGGAUGAAAGCGGGGGAUCGCGAGACCUCGCGCGAUUGGAGCGGCCGAUAUCAGAUUAGGUAGUUGGUGAGGUAAAGGCUCACCAAGCCAACGAUCUGUAGCUGGUCUGAGAGGACGACCAGCCACACUGGAACUGAGACACGGUCCAGACUCCUACGGGAGGCAGCAGUGGGAAUUUUGGACAAUGGACGCAAGUCUGAUCCAGCCAUUCCGCGUGCAGGACGAAGGCCUUCGGGUUGUAAACUGCUUUUGUACGGAACGAAAAAGCUCUUAUUAAUACUAGGAGUCCAUGACGGUACCGUAAGAAUAAGCACCGGCUAACUACGUGCCAGCCGCCGCAGUAA